RNAcentral lists this ribosomal RNA (460 nucleotides) under uncultured bacterium. RNAcentral describes it as "partial 16S ribosomal RNA". It matches the Rfam family "Bacterial small subunit ribosomal RNA", at positions 338 to 795 of the family's 1533-position model. The record is from RNAcentral.
CCUACGGGUGGCAGCAGUGAGGAAUAUUGGUCAAUGGGCGGAAGCCUGAACCAGCCAAGUAGCGUGCAGGAUGACGGCCCUACGGGUUGUAAACUGCUUUUAUACGGGAAUAACGCGCCUUACGUGUAGGGCUUUGCAUGUACCGUAUGAAUAAGGACCGGCUAAUUCUGUGCCAGCAGCCGCGGUAAUACGGAAGGUCCGGGCGUUAUCCGGAUGUAUUGGGGUGAAAGGGAGCGUAGGCCGCAUGUCAAGGUUGCUGUGAAAUGUCCGGGCUCAACCCGGGCCUUGCAGCGCGAACUGGCGUGCUUGAGUCUGCGGAAGGCAGGCGGAAUUCGUGGUGUAGCGGUGAAAUGCUUAGAUAUGACGAAGAACCCCGAUUGCGAAGGCAGCUUGCUGCAGCGGAACUGACGCUGAUGCUCGAAAGCGCGGGUAUCGAACAGGAUUAGAUACCCGAGUAGUC